RNAcentral lists this ribosomal RNA (490 nucleotides) under uncultured bacterium. Its description in RNAcentral is "partial 16S ribosomal RNA". It matches the Rfam family "Bacterial small subunit ribosomal RNA", at positions 28 to 507 of the family's 1533-position model. The record is from RNAcentral.
GAUGAACGCUAGCGGCAGGCUUAACACAUGCAAGUCGAGCGGCAGCAUGGUCUUAGUUUGCUAAGACCGAUGGCGACCGGCGCACGGGUGAGUAACGCGUAUGCAACUUGCCUCACAGAGGGGGAUAACCCGUCGAAAGACGGACUAAUACCGAGUACAUUUUGGAUAGGGCAUCCUGACCCAAGGCAGUGAAAUUCGCUGUGAGAUAGGCAUGCGUCCCAUUGGUUAGUUGGUGAGGUAACGGCUCGUCAAGGCGACGAUGGGUAAGGGAACGGAGAGGGUGACCCCCGAGACCGGUACCGGGACACGGACCACACUGCGACGGGGGAGAGGAGUAAGGAAGGUAGGUGGAGGGACGAGGGCCUGAACCAGCCAAGUCGCGUGAAGGAGGCCUGUCUUAGGGAUGGUAAACUUCUUGUGUACAAGAAUAGCAAGAGUCACGUGUGGCUCCCUGCAGGUACCGUAUGAAUAAGCAACGGCUAACUCCGUG